This 388-nucleotide long non-coding RNA is filed under the name Coccomyxa subellipsoidea. Its description in RNAcentral is "long non-coding RNA (CSUB_LNC000413)". The record is from RNAcentral. Lineage: Eukaryota; Viridiplantae; Chlorophyta; Trebouxiophyceae; Coccomyxaceae.
AGCAAUCUGAUGCACUGAUCGUGCCAAACACUGCACCCAAAGCCGGGAGUUGACCUCAUUUUAUCUGUCUGAUGGGAAGCUUGCCGCGGAAUUUCAAAUCGAUGGAGAAGGAUUUUAUCCAGGAGCUUGGCAUCAGCCCCGAGGAGGCCGAGAAACUCAGUUUGAAAGAGCUUCUUCAGAAAGCAAUGGACUGUUGUGAGCAAGGUGAUGCAGAGAUCGAUGCCAUAUUCCACAAAGAUACCGCAAUUGCACAACAGCGCGAAGGUGCACAUCCCCCCCUUAUUAGCACGAUCUGUGGUGGAACUCUGCCGUUGACUGAGCGAAACAGUCGUGUUUGAUAAGGGAUUAGUUCCGGUGUGUCUUUGCAGGCGAGGCCCAGUACAUUGCG